UACGUAGGGUCCGAGCGUUGUCCGGAAUUACUGGGCGUAAAGAGCUCGUAGGUGGUUUGUCGCGUUGUUCGUGAAAACUCACAGCUCAACUGUGGGCGUGCGGGCGAUACGGGCAGACUAGAGUACUGCAGGGGAGACUGGAAUUCCUGGUGUAGCGGUGAAAUGCGCAGAUAUCAGGAGGAACAUCGGUGGCGAAGGCGGGUCUCUGGGCCGAUACUGACGCUGAGGAGCGAAAGCGUGGGGAGCGAACAGG
RNAcentral lists this ribosomal RNA (253 nucleotides) under uncultured bacterium. RNAcentral's name for it is "partial 16S ribosomal RNA". It matches the Rfam family "Bacterial small subunit ribosomal RNA", at positions 524 to 776 of the family's 1533-position model. The record is from RNAcentral.